CUACGGGUGGCUGCAGUGGGGAAUAUUGGACAAUGGGGGAAACCCUGAUCCAGCAAUGCCGCGUGUGUGAAGAAGGCCUUAGGGUUGUAAAGCACUUUCAGUAGUGAGGAAAAGUUUAAGGCUAAUACCCUUGAACCCUGACGUUAACUACAGAAGAAGCACCGGCUAACUUCGUGCCAGCAGCCGCGGUAAUACGAAGGGUGCAAGCGUUAAUCGGAUUUACUGGGCGUAAAGCGCGCGUAGGCGGUUUGAUAAGUCGGAUGUGAAAGCCCCGGGCUCAACCUGGGAAUUGCAUUCGAUACUGUCAGGCUAGAGUAUGGUAGAGGGAAGUGGAAUUCCACAUGUAGCGGUGAAAUGCGUAGAUAUGUGGAGGAACACCAGUGGCGAAGGCGACUUCCUGGCCCAAUACUGACGCUGAGGUGCGAAAGCGUGGGGAGCAAACAGGAUUAGAUACCCUCGUAGUC
RNAcentral lists this ribosomal RNA (464 nucleotides) under uncultured bacterium. Its description in RNAcentral is "partial 16S ribosomal RNA". It matches the Rfam family "Bacterial small subunit ribosomal RNA", at positions 339 to 795 of the family's 1533-position model. The record is from RNAcentral.